GUGUCAGCCGCCGCGGUAAUACGUAGGGUGCAAGCGUUGUCCGGAAUUAUUGGGCGUAAAGAGCUCGUAGGCGGUCUGUCGCGUCGGCUGUGAAAUCCCGAGGCUCAACCUCGGGUCUGCAGUCGAUACGGGCAAACUGGAGUGUUGCAGGGGAGACUGGAAUUCCUGGUGUAGCGGUGAAAUGCGCAGAUAUCAGGAGGAACACCGGUGGCGAAGGCGGGUCUCUGGGCAACAACUGACGCUGAGGAGCGAAAGCGUGGGGAGCGAACAGGAUUAGAAACCCCCGUAGUCC
RNAcentral lists this ribosomal RNA (292 nucleotides) under uncultured bacterium. RNAcentral describes it as "partial 16S ribosomal RNA". It matches the Rfam family "Bacterial small subunit ribosomal RNA", at positions 505 to 796 of the family's 1533-position model. The record is from RNAcentral.